Molecule: ribosomal RNA, 450 nt
Filed under: uncultured bacterium
Lineage: Bacteria
Description: partial 16S ribosomal RNA
Rfam family: Bacterial small subunit ribosomal RNA
Source: RNAcentral
GUGGGGAAUUUUGGACAAUGGGCGCAAGCCUGAUCCAGCAAUGCCGCGUGCAGGAAGAAGGCCUUCGGGUUGUAAACUGCUUUUGUACGGAACGAAACGGUCCUGGUUAAUACCUGGGGCUAAUGACGGUACCGUAAGAAUAAGCACCGGCUAACUACGUGCCAGCAGCCGCGGUAAUACGUAGGGUGCGAGCGUUAAUCGGAAUUACUGGGCGUAAAGCGUGCGCAGGCGGUGCUGUAAGACAGGCGUGAAAUCCCCGGGCUUAACCUGGGAAUUGCGCUUGUGACUGCAGUGCUGGAGUGCGGCAGAGGGGGAUGGAAUUCCGCGUGUAGCAGUGAAAUGCGUAGAUAUGCGGAGGAACACCGAUGGCGAAGGCAAUCCCCUGGGCCUGCACUGACGCUCAUGCACGAAAGCGUGGGGAGCAAACAGGAUUAGAAACCCGGGUAGUCC